GCCUGUUGAUGUUUGACCCUGAUGGAGACGAAGUUAAAUGCAGAUAUGGAAACUCUGCACUCUCAGAGUGUAACCCCUGCACUCCACCCUCUGUCCUCAGCCUCUCAUCGUCGUCUUGUACUCUGUCAUUCAGCCCCACCAGCAGCAGUAAUGAAGGUUCGUAUGUAGUACAGCUGGUGAUGGAGGACUUCCCCAGACAGACCAUCACUCUGACUCAAACCAACGGGACACAAACAACAAUAACUACCAACGAUGCCAUCAGCAAAAUACCGAUUCAGUUUGCUUUGAAAGUUGAUCCUGCAGUGCCAUCCUGCACAGAAGGACUCUUUCUGCCCAAGUUUCUUCCUCCAACACCAGCCAACGGAGCUCAGCUCUACAACAAUGUCAGUCAGACUCUGGAAAUUCACAUCACUGCAGAGGCACUUAACUCCACGGUCUCUGAGCUGCUCUACAGCGGGCCGUACAAUUUAAUCAGCAGUCCAUCAGGACCAGGACAGUUCACCCUGAGAUGGACACCAUCUGAAAGCGAAGAAGGACAAAGCCUCCCCAUCUGUUUUGCUGUCCAGGCAGUUUCUCGUGGGACCAAGUAUCACUCAGAGCUUCGAUGUGUCACUGUGACCGUUGUAAAAGGACCAGUAAUAACCACAACACCCGAAACGACUACACCCAGUGAACCAUCUUAUGUUCUCAAAUUGAAGAUUACCUCUUUGGUGGACUUGUCAAAAGUUGAUAGAAAUUACUUACUUACACAGAUCAAAAAUGUGCUGAUAUCCAACGGACUGCCCCAAGACAUGAUCAUACGACUCAUGAGCAGCAAACCACAGAUUGGUGCAAUUGCAGCGCCCUCUACUGGCACAACAUGAACAUCUACUGAACACGUCAUAGACACCUGAGCUUCACUACUGGAACUUCAACAUUAUGCACUCCAUACUGUACAGUAAUGCCACUGUUUUGCACAUGUCUCAACUCUGUAUAUUUUUAUAUAUUUUAUUUUAUUGUUUACUAUUUAAUUUGUAAAAUAUGUGUACACACACACACACACACACACACAUAGAAAAAUAUUUAGUAUACACAUCCAGAAAUGCAUAUACUAUUAUAUAUUGUACAUAUAUUUAUUAGUUUCAG
Astatotilapia calliptera (eastern happy) is the source of this 1125-nucleotide long non-coding RNA. NCBI's taxonomy places the organism in Eukaryota, Metazoa, Chordata, Actinopteri, Cichliformes, Cichlidae. The record is from Ensembl.